RNAcentral lists this ribosomal RNA (390 nucleotides) under uncultured bacterium. RNAcentral describes it as "bacterial SSU rRNA". It matches the Rfam family "Bacterial small subunit ribosomal RNA", at positions 28 to 417 of the family's 1533-position model. The record is from RNAcentral.
GACGAACGCUGGCGGCGUGCUUAACACAUGCAAGUCGAGCGGUAAGGCCCUUUCGGGGGGUACACGAGCGGCGAACGGGUGAGUAACACGUGGGUGACCUGCCUUUAGCUCUGGGAUAAGCCUGGGAAACUGGGUCUAAUACCGGAUAUGACUCCGCGGUGCAUGCUGUGGGGUGGAAAGCCUUGUGCGGCUGGAGAUGGGCCCGCGGCCUAUCAGCUUGGUUGGUGGGGUGAUGGCCUACCAAGGCGACGACGGGUAGCCGGCCUGAGAGGGCGACCGGCCACACUGGGACUGAGACACGGCCCAGACUCCUACGGGAGGCAGCAGUGGGGAAUCUUGCGCAAUGGGCGAAAGCCUGACGCAGCGACGCCGCGUGAGGGAUGACGGCCU